UCUUUCUCCCAACUUCCCAAUUCUUUCUCCCAACUUCCCAAUCGAAGAAAUCAAUUUUGAAACCCUAAAUCUCUAAAUUCCUCCACUGCGAUGUCGCUCUCCUACUCCAACUUCUUCCUCGAUGAUGAUCUCCUAUACAACGAGGAAACCUCAGCAUCUUAUCCGGAGAUUUGCCGGCGGAAAGCUUCUCUGAUGUUGAUUUGUCUCCGCCGUCGGAGGAAGAGUAAACUGGGUGUUCUUGAACAUGACAAGGUUGAGUUGAAUAAUAUGCAUAGACGUGUACUGUGCAUGGUUUUAUAAGGAGCAAGAAUCAACCUUCGCAGUGGAUCCUGACUGAAUAUACUUCAUGAAAAUUUGCAAACAUGUGAAACAUGGGUAAAUCAACUAAAUGAAUUGUUGAAACUGGAAGCCGGUAGACCGCGGAAUCUUCUGAUAUUGUUUCUGAUUCACUAGGUUUUUGUUCAUCCAAGGAGUGGGAAGAGUAAUGGCCGUAGAAACUGGGAAGCUGUGGCUCCGAUAUUCUCACGUGCUAGAGUAGAAACGAAGGUG
Long non-coding RNA from Vicia villosa (hairy vetch), 549 nucleotides. RefSeq lists it as uncharacterized. The transcript has 3 exons. The record is from RefSeq and is a predicted model, not a curated record. NCBI's taxonomy places the organism in Eukaryota, Viridiplantae, Streptophyta, Magnoliopsida, Fabales, Fabaceae.